This 627-nucleotide ribosomal RNA is filed under the name Curtobacterium sp. Ri2Pw_5973. RNAcentral describes it as "bacterial SSU rRNA". It matches the Rfam family "Bacterial small subunit ribosomal RNA", at positions 389 to 1031 of the family's 1533-position model. Lineage: Bacteria; Bacillati; Actinomycetota; Actinomycetes; Micrococcales; Microbacteriaceae. The record is from RNAcentral.
CAGCAACGCCGCGGAGGGACGACGGCCACGGGUGUAAACCUCUUUUAGUAGGGAAGAAGCGAAAGGACGGUACCUGCAGAAAAAGCACCGGCUAACUACGUGCCAGCAGCCGCGGUAAUACGUAGGGUGCAAGCGUUGUCCGGAAUUAUUGGGCGUAAAGAGCUCGUAGGCGGUUUGUCGCGUCUGCUGUGAAAUCCCGAGGCUCAACCUCGGGCUUGCAGUGGGUACGGGCAGACUAGAGUGCGGUAGGGGAGAUUGGAAUUCCUGGUGUAGCGGUGGAAUGCGCAGAUAUCAGGAGGAACACCGAUGGCGAAGGCAGAUCUCUGGGCCGUAACUGACGCUGAGGAGCGAAAGCAUGGGGAGCGAACAGGAUUAGAUACCCUGGUAGUCCAUGCCGUAAACGUUGGGCGCUAGAUGUAGGGACCUUUCCACGGUUUCUGUGUCGUAGCUAACGCAUUAAGCGCCCCGCCUGGGGAGUACGGCCGCAAGGCUAAAACUCAAAGGAAUUGACGGGGGCCCGCACAAGCGGCGGAGCAUGCGGAUUAAUUCGAUGCAACGCGAAGAACCUUACCAAGGCUUGACAUACACCGGAAACGGCCAGAGAUGGUCGCCCCCUUGUGGUCGGUG